ACUGACAGCCAUGGUUACCGCGGCUGCUGGCACGGAGUUAGCCGGUGCUUCUUCUGUGAGUGAUGUCCUUCCUGCCGGCUAUUAACCCGCAGGCCUUCUUCCUCACUGAAAGUGCUUUACAACCCGAAGGCCUUCUUCACACACGCGGCAUGGCUGGAUCAGGGUUGCCCCCAUUGUCCAAUAUUCCCCACUGCUGCCUCCCGUAGGAGUCUGGGCCGUGUCUCAGUCCCAGUGUGGCUGAUCAUCCUCUCAGACCAGCUACGGAUCGUCGCCUUGGUGAGCCGUUACCUCACCAACCAGCUAAUCCGACAUAGGCUCAUCCGAUAGCGCGAGGCCCGAAGGUCCCCCGCUUUCCCCCGUAGGGCGUAUGCGGUAUUAGCCUGGGUUUCCCCAGGUUAUCCCCCACUACCGGGCAGAUUCCUAUGCAUUACUCACCCGUCCGCCGCUCGCCACCAGGGAGCAAGCUCCCCGUGCUCGCCGCUCGACUUGCAUGUGUUAGGCCUGCCGCCAGCGUUCAAU
Molecule: ribosomal RNA, 519 nt
Filed under: uncultured bacterium
Lineage: Bacteria
Description: partial 16S ribosomal RNA
Source: RNAcentral